Molecule: ribosomal RNA, 462 nt
Filed under: uncultured bacterium
Lineage: Bacteria
Description: partial 16S ribosomal RNA
Rfam family: Bacterial small subunit ribosomal RNA
Source: RNAcentral
GACGAACGCUGGCGGCGUGCUUAACACAUGCAAGUCGAACGGAAAGGCCCUUCGGGGUCCUCGAGUGGCGAACGGGUGAGUAACACGUGGGUGAUCUGCCCUGCACUUUGUGAUAAGCCUGGGAAACUGGGUCUAAUACCGAAUAGGACCACGCGCUUCAUGGUGUGUGGUGGAAAGCUUUUGCGGUGUGGGAUGGGCCCGCGGCCUAUCAGCUUGUUGGUGGGGUAAUGGCCUACCAAGGCGACGACGGGUAGCCGGCCUGGGAGGGUGACCGGCCACACUGGGACUGAGAUACGGCCCAGACUCCUACGGGAGGCAGCAGUGGGGAAUAUUGAACAAUGGGCGCAAGCCUGAUGCAGCGACGCCGCGUGAGGGAUAACGGCCUUCGGGUUGUAAACCUCUUUCAAUAGGGACGAAGCGCAAGUGACGGUACCUAUAGAAGAAGCACCGGCUAACUACGUG